This is a non-coding RNA of Meleagris gallopavo (turkey), 941 nucleotides long. Lineage: Eukaryota; Metazoa; Chordata; Aves; Galliformes; Phasianidae. The record is from RefSeq and is a predicted model, not a curated record.
UACCGGUACGAACCGUUUCUGUGAAGCGUGUGACGUCGCUGCUGGCACUCGGUUGGCCGAGCGUCUCAGGCUCGCAAUCUGCUCGACGCGGUUGCUAAGCGUGCAAAUGUAGUUAACAACGUGACUGAAUUACAGAAAGAGAAGAGCAAGAGGAAGAUUUCAGGAGAACAUCACGAUUUUCUGUCCCUACCUGGGUAAUUAUCUCCAGGCUGAUUAGUGUUCUUCCUCAAGAAAUGACGCAAGUUUUAAGUCCAUCCUCAGCAUUGAGACAUGGCCUGGGUCUUCUCCAUUUCAGGUACAAUGAAGAAUUCCUUCAAAUCUAAGAACACUGCAUCCUGAAGGACUAAAACUGAGCUGGUUGGCUGGAUGAUUGAAGGGGACCGGUAGCAUUUGCAUAUUUUCAAUCUGAGUACCUGGUUCAAAUGCUCCACUGAAAUCCAUCGCUCCCAGUGGGCUUUGUAGCAGUCUCUGGAAACGGAACUGGGACUUUCAGUCCACAGGAGGCAGUCAUUCAAGGAAGAUACUAUGAGUAAUACUUACGAAAAGUUGAGCCUAAUGGUUGUCAGACGCUGUUUUAUAACACUAGCAGAUAAAAACAGAAGCGCGUGCUGCGCAGGCUUCUUGAAGGCUUGCAGUAUGGAAGAAGUUGAAAAUGGACGUGAAAGAGAAUAGGAGGAAAUGCAGUAUGGUACUUUCAAAACUAAUUGGUCAGGAGAGAAUUAUUGCAAAUGUAGAUACUUAGUAGGAGGAAACUGCGCAGAAGGCAGAAAUGACUGAAAUGAGCUAGAGAUGACAACUACAUUUAAAAAUGAGGUAAGUUCUAGUGAUACAGUACAAAAAGAAAAAAUGCAAGCACACCAUAUUAUGGGGUCAACAAAUACUCCACCCACGUGGUACCAUUGAAACAAUCUGAAAAUGCUUUAUCAGCAGAUUGUGAUAAA